This 444-nucleotide ribosomal RNA is filed under the name uncultured bacterium. RNAcentral describes it as "bacterial SSU rRNA". It matches the Rfam family "Bacterial small subunit ribosomal RNA", at positions 331 to 792 of the family's 1533-position model. The record is from RNAcentral.
CCAGACUCCUACGGGAGGCAGCAGUGGGGAAUAUUGGACAAUGGGGGGAACCCUGAUCCAGCGACGCCGCGUGAGUGAAGAAGUAUUUCGGUAUGUAAAGCUCUAUCAGCAGGGAAGAAAAUGACGGUACCUGACUAAGAAGCCCCGGCUAACUACGUGCCAGCAGCCGCGGUAAUACGUAGGGGGCAAGCGUUAUCCGGAUUUACUGGGUGUAAAGGGAGCGUAGACGGUGCAGCAAGUCUGAUGUGAAAGGUCGGGGCCCAACCCCGGGACUGCAUUGGAAACUGUUGAACUGGAGUACAGGAGAGGUAAGCGGAAUUCCUAGUGUAGCGGUGAAAUGCGUAGAUAUUAGGAGGAACACCAGUGGCGAAGGCGGCUUACUGGACUGUAACUGACGUUGAGGCUCGAAAGCGUGGGGAGCAAACAGGAUUAGAUACCCGCGUA